UAGAUCCGUAACUUUGGGAAAAGGAUUGGCUCCAAGGAUUGGGCCUAGGAGUCCCUGGAGGGAUGUGGCAGCAGCUGACACGGACUGCGGCGCAAGCUGCGGACUGUGCUGGUAGCUCCUCGGACGUCCAGGGAAUGCUUCGGCGUUUCCUAGUGCGAUGAACAAUCAGCUUGGAACUGGAGCGGACAAGGGGAAUCCGACUGU
This 204-nucleotide ribosomal RNA is filed under the name Aurantiochytrium limacinum. RNAcentral's name for it is "partial Eukaryotic large subunit ribosomal RNA". It matches the Rfam family "Eukaryotic large subunit ribosomal RNA", at positions 1923 to 2141 of the family's 3401-position model. The record is from RNAcentral. Lineage: Eukaryota; Bigyra; Thraustochytrida; Thraustochytriidae.